CAGCCGCCGCGGUAAUACCAGCCCCGCGAGUGGUCGGGACGGUUAUUGGGCCUAAAGCGCCCGUAGCCGGCCCGGCAAGUCCCUCCUUAAAGCCUCGGGCCCAACCCGAGGACGGGGGGGAUACUGCCGGGCUAGGGGGCGGGAGAGGCCGGCGGUACUCCCGGGGUAGGGGCGAAAUCCGUUAAUGCCGGGAGGACCACCAGUGGCGAAGGCGGCCGGCGGGAACGCGCCCGACGGUGAGGGGCGAAAGCCGGGGGAGCGAACCGGAUUAGAUACCCGGGUAGUCCCGGCUGUAAACGAUGCGGGCUAGCUGUUGGGCGGGCUUAGAGCCCGCCCAGUGGCGCAGGGAAGCCGUUAAGCCCGCCGCCUGGGGAGUACGGCCGCAAGGCUGAAACUUAAAGGAAUUGGCGGG
RNAcentral lists this ribosomal RNA (412 nucleotides) under uncultured microorganism. Its description in RNAcentral is "bacterial SSU rRNA". It matches the Rfam family "Archaeal small subunit ribosomal RNA", at positions 459 to 872 of the family's 1478-position model. The record is from RNAcentral.